This 402-nucleotide ribosomal RNA is filed under the name uncultured bacterium. Its description in RNAcentral is "bacterial SSU rRNA". It matches the Rfam family "Bacterial small subunit ribosomal RNA", at positions 355 to 774 of the family's 1533-position model. The record is from RNAcentral.
UAGGGAAUCUUGCGCAAUGGGCGAAAGCCUGACGCAGCCAUGCCGCGUGAAUGAUGAAGGUCUUAGGAUUGUAAAAUUCUUUCACCGGGGAAGAUAAUGACGGUACCCGGAGAAGAAGCCCCGGCUAACUUCGUGCCAGCAGCCGCGGUAAUACGAAGGGGGCUAGCGUUGCUCGGAAUUACUGGGCGUAAAGGGCGCGUAGGCGGACAUUUAAGUCAGAGGUGAAAGCCCAGGGCUCAACCUUGGAACUGCCUUUGAUACUGGAUGUCUUGAGUUCGGGAGAGGUGAGUGGAAUGCCGAGUGUAGAGGUGAAAUUCGUAGAUAUUCGGCGGAACACCAGUGGCGAAGGCGACUCACUGGCCCGAUACUGACGCUGAGGCGCGAAAGCGUGGGGAGCAAACA